This is a long non-coding RNA of Orcinus orca (killer whale), 1437 nucleotides long. RefSeq lists it as uncharacterized. NCBI's taxonomy places the organism in Eukaryota, Metazoa, Chordata, Mammalia, Artiodactyla, Delphinidae. The transcript has 4 exons. The record is from RefSeq and is a predicted model, not a curated record.
CGUUGUGAUCAAGGCUCUCCUUUUCGGGUUGCUAUGGGACAGAGACCCAGGUGAGUAACGGCCAGUGUUCCUCUCUUGGUUUGGGGAAUUGGUUUAAGUGUUUUCAUUGUAUUUUCAAACAUAAUCGAUAUAUAUCAAAGGGUUGAUGAUGGCCUGUUGAUAAAUAACCGUGAGAGCUUAUGCUGAUGAAGUGAUAAUCUAGAACCUGGAAAUUCAUUAACCAAGGAGAUCUCAUGUAUGGUGAUAAUGUUUGGAGAGAAGUUAGGGAUAUUCGCUGGUCUGGUUCUUGGGUUUUGGGUAUUCAUGUUUUUCUUUCAUUAGUAUUAAUAAUGUAAUGAUUUAAUUGAUAGAGAUGUACCAAUGAAUGAACUAAAAUUGGACCCAAGGGGACCAACGAUGAAGUUGGGUAGAGGAUGAGGCAUUAAUGGGCAAGGAACCAUAAGUAUCUGGAAGCCUGAGGACCAAGAAGUGUACACACUCUAUUUUCUACAUUGAUUUUGUCCUAUGGACACAUGUUUGAAAUAUAUAAAGUCAUGCUCUUAGUUUGGGUUAAUAGAUUUUGAUUUAGUAUUAUUAAUGGAUAAAUAAUAGAACCAUUAAAGAUAUAUAAAUAAUAGCUUAAGAAGAAAAGGUAAAUUAUUAGGUACCUAUGAAAAUAUAUUGUCAGCCAAGAAAUAGUAAUGAAGAUUGCCAGCACUGAUGCCCAUUAGGAAAUGAAUGGAUCAAUGGUGUCACCUCUUUGACCAAGCAUCAUACAGAUGUGAUGAUUAAGUGUCAGUUUUAUUGAUCUGUGUCAUUCUCAAGUUUGAGGUUCUUUUUGUUCAUAGAAAAAUUCUCUAAAUUAUGAAAAAGUUAUAAAUUCUUCAUGAUUUGUGUACUAUAAAUCUAGAAAGCAAGAAUCAAUCGCAAUACAUUUUCCUUUUUUUUAAACAUCCGCUGUGCAUUGUACUUCUGAAAAUGGACAUGUUCGAGCUGAUUAACCAUGAUUCCAUGGUCAUGCACCUUAUGAUUGCAUCGCUGUGUUAGAUUCACAGGAACCAAUAAUGGAUGCCCUUGAGCUGAUCUAAGCAUCUUGCAUGGUCAGGAGCCCUAUGGUUGCAUCUGUGUUAGGAGGAUGGAGAACAAUAAUGGGAGCACUUAAGCUGGUUGAAGGAUUCUUCUGUGGUCCUGAGAGCUCUGGCUGCAUUCACGUGUUAGGACUGUGGAGACCAUAAGCAACACAGUGGACCUGAUUUAAGGACCUUUCCUUGAUUGACAGCCUUAGGAUAGGAUCUGUGUUUUAGGAUCCCAGAGAUCUAUGUGAGUAAUAAGCAAAUUCUUUCCUUGGUUUGGAUGUUUUGUUAAGGGUCUUCAUUGUGUUAACAAAAAGAAUUAAAAAUAUUCCAGAAAGUCCAAUGUGUCCUUGUAACAAAUAUGUGAUUAAUAGAAUCACAAUGA